AGUGAACGCUGGCGGUAGGCCUAACACAUGCAAGUCGAACGGCAGCACAGUAAGAGCUUGCUCUUACGGGUGGCGAGUGGCGGACGGGUGAGGAAUACAUCGGAAUCUACUUUUUCGUGGGGGAUAACGUAGGGAAACUUACGCUAAUACCGCAUACGACCUACGGGUGAAAGCAGGGGAUCUUCGGACCUUGCGCGAUUGAAUGAGCCGAUGUCGGAUUAGCUAGGUGGCGGGGUAAAGGCCCACCAAGGCGACGAUCCGUAGCUGGUCUGAGUGGAUGAUCGGCCACACUGGACCUGAGACACGGUCCAGAGUCCUACUGGAGGGAGCAGUGGGGAAUAUUGGGCAGUGGGCGCAAGCCUGAUCCAACAAUACCACGUCGGUGAAGCAGGCCUUCUGGUUGUCAAGCCCUUUUGUUGGGAAAGAAAAGCAUCCGGUUAAUACCCCGCUGUUCUGACGGUACCCACAGACUAAGCACCGGCUAACUUCGUG
This 492-nucleotide ribosomal RNA is filed under the name uncultured bacterium. RNAcentral describes it as "partial 16S ribosomal RNA". It matches the Rfam family "Bacterial small subunit ribosomal RNA", at positions 29 to 507 of the family's 1533-position model. The record is from RNAcentral.